AUUGAACGCUGGCGGCAGGCCUAACACAUGCAAGUCGAGCGGAUGACGGGAGCUUGCUCCUUGAUUCAGCGGCGGACGGGUGAGUAAUGCCUAGGAAUCUGCCUGGUAGUGGGGGACAACGUUUCGAAAGGAAGGCUAAUACCGCAUGCGCCCUACGGGAGAAAGCAGGGGACCUUCGGGCCUUGCGCUAUCAGAUGAGCUUAGGUCGGAUUAGCUAGUAGGUGAGGUAAUGGCUCACCUAGGCGGCGAUCCGUAACUGGGCUGAGAGGAGGAUCAGUCACACUGGAACUGAGACCCGGUCCAGACUCCUACGGGAGGCAGCAGUGGGGAAUAUUAGACAAUGGGCGAAAGCCUGAUCCAGCCAUGCCGCGUGUGUGAAGAAGGUCUUCGGAUUGUAAAGCACUUUAAGUUGGGAGGAAGGGCAGUAAGUUAAUACCUUGCUGUUUUGACGUUACCGACAGAAUAAGCACCGGCUAACUCUGUGCCAGCAGCCGCAGUAA
Molecule: ribosomal RNA, 500 nt
Filed under: uncultured bacterium
Lineage: Bacteria
Description: partial 16S ribosomal RNA
Rfam family: Bacterial small subunit ribosomal RNA
Source: RNAcentral